Molecule: long non-coding RNA, 2356 nt
Filed under: Nicotiana benthamiana
Lineage: Eukaryota; Viridiplantae; Streptophyta; Magnoliopsida; Solanales; Solanaceae
Description: long non-coding RNA (NBEN_LNC013680)
Source: RNAcentral
AAUAACCAUCCAAUUUGACCCAUGCUCCCUUUAAUCUCAGCCGUCUAAAAUCCUGAAUCCCACGGCCCAAUUUAAUUCCCUUUACCCACAUUAUACCCAACUUUAAUUCCCCAAUCCCUAGCUCAAACCAUCCGCCUCCCUCACCAUCUCUCACCCCACAGCUCUGCCCGCGAACUCAACCCCAAACCAGCCGUAAAUCACCCAAAAUCCCGCCCCACGUGAGCACUGGUCCCCCCUCUCUUCUCUCCUUCUUCCACGUCAUUCUUCAAAUCUCAUCAUUCCUAUCCGAUUUUCACGGAUUUAUUCUUUUAUUUCUUAUGUUUAAGCAUAAAAUCUGAGUCCUUGAAAUAAAGGUUGGAAAAUGGGAGUCAUUGGGAUUAAUUUUUGAUCCAAGACUUCCAUUUCUUGAUUUUUGUUAAAAUACGGAUUUUCGGAUUUGUUUGGGGGUCCACGCGGAUUCGAUUCUUGGAAAGGAAGCAAGAAGAAGCUUCUAGGAUCCCUAUAUAUUUGGGAUUUUCGGAUAGAGAAAAAUGAGAGAGAGGAGAAAAGCUAAGGUUUUCAGAUUUCUUGGUUGGUUCUUCUAAUUUCAAUAGAGUUCUAGUGUUCUUUGAUUCUGUUUUGCUUCAUUUUUCACAUAUAUAAAAAAGCAAAAAUUAGUUUCGUCUCAUUCGGAUUUUAAAGUCAGAAAUACAAAGGUAAAAUUUCGUUUCAUCUCUUGCAUGGCCGAAUAGAGUUUGGAUUUGGAGUUGCCGUUCGAAAUCGAGCCCGUGGUUCCUGUUCGCUCUAGUUGCUGUGUUUCUUGUUCGGAUUUUGUGAUUCGGAGCAUUGUAGCCGACUCCUUUGAUUCUCUGCUAUUAAGAAGAAACUUACACUUUUAGGUUCUUUUCUUCCCCUACUCUUAUGUGUAUUAUGAAUCAAAGCCACAGAGGGAGCCAUCUUAAAAUAGGCUAGUCAUUACUAGGUUGAGAUUUAACUGAUUUGUCUUUCUGUUGUUGACAAUGUCGAAAUAUGGUAAACUCUAAUAGAGUUGGAAAGGUUAAUUCAAUCUCGCCGAGGUAGACUCGUUGUUGAACUUGAUUCCGUGGUUUGAGUUCUCUUCAUGUCUUGGUUUUUGUGUUAAUUUUCUGCUUCAUGAGAAGUGAAAAGUUAUUAUGAAGUUAUAUAUAGAGUUGACGUUUAAGGCUAAUAUGAUUCCGAGUCGAUCUUGAGGAUGGAACAUAAUUCAACACUUCAUGUUUUUGAGAAACGAGAGUUUCAGCACUGUUGACUUGUUCUUCUUCUACUGAUUUAAAUAUAUAACAAUUCGUGAAGUUCUUUCGAUUUGCUUAGACUGCCAAAUGAAAGGCAAAUUACCUGAUUGUUUAAGGACCUAUAUGCCACUGUUUGUAUGUUUUUGUUUAUCAAUUUUUGGGAACAUAGUUUAGCACUAUUAGUCAUGUUAUCUAGAAUAUCAUUCGUACUUUAAAAUUGUCACUUCGGUUGGUCUAAGAGUUAUUCCGGUUGUGCCCGACUAAAGAAUUGCUACAGUCUCCUUUGAAUCCCAAACGCCGAAGUAAUAUUCUGAUGGUCGAGUUUGAUUAAGCGUAUGAUCUUCCAUGUUAAAGUUUUCAGUUGGUAAAAUGGUCAUGUAUGGGGAAUCUGUAAACCUUUUGAAGUCUUAAAUGUUCAUCGGUCUAAAGUUAAUAGGGGUCUUGCUCCAUUCGAUCAUGUCUGGGUGCUAAUUAACUAAUAGGCGAUUAUAUGUUGUUGAAUGUUUAAACUUUAAACAUGGCAUCGAAGGAUAAUGCACAUGAGUUUGGCUUUAAAAGACAUGAUUUGUAGGCUUCAGGAUAUGGUCAAUUAAAAGGCUAGGAAAAGCAACGUAAGUAAAAAUCUUUGAAUGGCUCCCUGAAUGACUUUGACUUUGUCUAUGUUGGAUGACCAUUGUCAUUUAUUCCAUGCUUUGGGUGUCGGGCUUGGCCUAAUAAAAUGAAAAGUUACAAAAAUACAUGAGCAUGAAUUGAAUUGUUUCUUUUACUUUUCUUAUUUAGUUUUUUUAUGACAUUGUCCGUUAGGAGCAUGCUCUAGGCCGACAACACUUGGGUAGGAAAUCUUUAGAUGUUUUUAUUUGCUUUGGUUUUGGGGAGAGAGGUCGCCCCUUAAAUAAAUUUGUCCGGGGAAUGCCCCAUGGACUUUGUAAAUAUUUUAACUCGGGGCCCGAAGUACUUUGUAAAUAUUUUGGAGGCCAAAGAUGGAACUAUUCGAGGAAGCAUGGAAUAGUAUUUUAUUUUUGUUUUGUUAGGUGGAGACGACCUCGAGCCUCUUUUGACUGUUUAUUUUCUUUUUGUGUGCUUUUACCUCAAUUUGAAUAUCUUAA